AGAUACAAAGGAAUUCCAGAAGAAUAGACAGAUUGAUUGCUAAUUGGUUUCGACGCCUGAAGCUAGGGUUUUAACACGAGGAAGAUAGACCUCCUCCAUUUUUAUUCUCAGCAGUUGAAAUCGAUUCCCAAUUGCAGUGCUUCUCCAUGUAAUUUUGAUCAUCGGUGAACUAAUUGUAGCUUUGAGAGAACUUACCUAACAAUUUUGCUAGCUAUUCUGGUUCAAAAGCAAGAUGGAAAUGAAAUCGCCUGAGAAACUCAAUACAGUCGUUGUCUUGAAACAGCCAGAUAGCAGCCGUUGGCAGAAGAUUAAUACAUGCAAUGGCUUCUAGUUGGCUAUUUCCCAAAUAAGCUUAUAAACCCAAGAUGCGGACUGAAGAC
Molecule: long non-coding RNA, 380 nt
Organism: Coffea arabica (coffee)
Lineage: Eukaryota; Viridiplantae; Streptophyta; Magnoliopsida; Gentianales; Rubiaceae
Source: RefSeq, a predicted model, not a curated record